Molecule: ribosomal RNA, 592 nt
Filed under: uncultured fungus
Lineage: Eukaryota; Fungi
Description: eukaryotic LSU rRNA
Rfam family: Eukaryotic large subunit ribosomal RNA
Source: RNAcentral
AUAUCAAUAAGCGGAGGAAAAGAAACCAACAGGGAUUGCCUCAGUAACGGCGAGUGAAGCGGCAACAGCUCAAAUUUGAAAUCUGGCCCUCUCAGGGUCCGAGUUGUAAUUUGGAGAAGAUGCUUCGGGUGUGGCCCCGGUCUAAGUUCCUUGGAACAGGACGUCACAGAGGGUGAGAAUCCCGUACGUGACCGGUGGCCGCCCCCGUGUGAAGCUCUUUCGACGAGUCGAGUUGUUUGGGAAUGCAGCUCAAAAUGGGUGGUAAAUUUCAUCUAAAGCUAAAUAUUGGCCAGAGACCGAUAGCGCACAAGUAGAGUGAUCGAAAGAUGAAAAGCACUUUGGAAAGAGAGUUAAACAGUACGUGAAAUUGUUGAAAGGGAAGCGCUUGCAACCAGACUUGCGCGCGGCCGAUCAUCCGGUGUUCGCACCGGUGCACUCGGUCGUGCUCAGGCCAGCAUCGGUUUGGGUGGUUGGAUAAAGGCCUCGGGAAUGUGGCUCUCUUCGGGGAGUGUUAUAGCCCGAGGUGCAAUGCAGCCCACCCGGACCGAGGACCGCGCUUCGGCUAGGAUGCUGGCGUAAUGGUUGUAAGCGA